UACGUAGGGGGCAAGCGUUGUCCGGAAUCAUUGGGCGUAAAGCGCGUGUAGGCGGUCCGGUAAGUCCGCUGUGAAAGUCCAGGGCUCAACCCUGGGAUGCCGGUGGAUACUGUCGGGCUAGAGUACGGAAGAGGCGAGUGGAAUUCCCGGUGUAGCGGUGAAAUGCGCAGAUAUCGGGAGGAACACCAACGGCGAAGGCAGCUCGCUGGGACGGUACUGACACUAAGGCGCGAAAGCGUGGGGAGCGAACAGG
RNAcentral lists this ribosomal RNA (253 nucleotides) under uncultured bacterium. Its description in RNAcentral is "partial 16S ribosomal RNA". It matches the Rfam family "Bacterial small subunit ribosomal RNA", at positions 524 to 776 of the family's 1533-position model. The record is from RNAcentral.